Molecule: unclassified non-coding RNA, 345 nt
Filed under: uncultured fungus
Lineage: Eukaryota; Fungi
Description: partial contains small subunit ribosomal RNA, internal transcribed spacer 1, and 5.8S ribosomal RNA
Rfam family: Eukaryotic small subunit ribosomal RNA (bases 1-73)
Source: RNAcentral
UCAAACUUGGUCAUUUAGAGGAAGUAAAAGUCGUAACAAGGUCUCCGUUGGUGAACCAGCGGAGGGAUCAUUAAAGAGUUUAAAAAAACUCCUAAACCCAUGUGAACGUACCUUCUGUUGCCUCGGUAGGCAAAGCUGUGCCCGUUACUUUUGUAGGAUCCUAUCCUGUAAGACCUUACCUGGAGAGACCUACCUAGCGGAGGAGCGCGGUACAGCCUGCCUGCCGGUGGCCUAGAAAAUUAAAUUCUGCUUUUUUAAUAGUGGUAUUCUGACGAGUGGAUAAAUCUAAGUUUAAAAACUUUCAACAACGGAUCUCUUGGUUCUGGCAUCAAUGAAGAACGCAGC